Molecule: ribosomal RNA, 257 nt
Filed under: uncultured bacterium
Lineage: Bacteria
Description: partial 16S ribosomal RNA
Rfam family: Bacterial small subunit ribosomal RNA
Source: RNAcentral
UACGUAGGGUGCAGGCGUUUAAUCGGAAUUACUGGGCGUAAAGCGUGCGCAGGCGGUUUCUUAAGUCAGAUGUGAAAGCCCCGGGCUUAACCUGGGAACUGCGUUUGAAACUGGGAGACUUGAGUGUGGCAGGAGGGGGGUGGAAUUCCGACGUGUAGCAGUGGAAAUGCGUAGAUAUGUGGAGGAACACCGAUGGCGAAGGCAGCCCCCUGGGUUAACACUGACGCUCAUGCACGAAAGCGUGGGGAGCAAACAGG